GAUGAACGCUGGCGGCGUGCUUAACACAUGCAAGUCGAACGGAAAGGCCCAAGCUUGCUUGGGUACUCGAGUGGCGAACGGGUGAGUAACACGUGGGUGAUCUGCCCUGCACUUCGGGAUAAGCCUGGGAAACUGGGUCUAAUACCGGAUAGGACCACUUCUUGGGUGUAGUGGUGGAAAGUUUUGUCGGUGUUGGAUGAGCUCGCGGCCUAUCAGCUUGUUGGUGGGGUAAUGGCAUACCAAGGCGUCGACGGGUAGCCGGCCUGAGAGGGUGUACGGCCACACUAGGACUGUGCGACGGCCCGGACUCCGGCGGGAUGCAGCAGGGGCGAAUACUGCACAAUGGGCGGCAGCCUGAUGCAGGGAGGCCGCGGGGGGGUUGACGGCCUUCGGGUUGUAAGCUCCUGUCGCUGGGAACGAAGCGUUUUUGUGACGGUACCUGGAGAAGAAGCACCGGCUAACUACGUG
Molecule: ribosomal RNA, 468 nt
Filed under: uncultured bacterium
Lineage: Bacteria
Description: partial 16S ribosomal RNA
Rfam family: Bacterial small subunit ribosomal RNA
Source: RNAcentral